Molecule: unclassified non-coding RNA, 253 nt
Filed under: uncultured Caryophanales bacterium
Lineage: Bacteria; Bacillati; Bacillota; Bacilli; Caryophanales
Description: uncultured Bacillales bacterium contains 16S-23S intergenic spacer region
Rfam family: Bacterial small subunit ribosomal RNA
Source: RNAcentral
UACGGAGGGGGCUAGCGUUGUUCGGAAUUACUGGGCGUAAAGCGCGCGCAGGCGGUCCCUUAAGUCUGAUGUGAAAGCCCACGGCUCAACCGUGGAGGGUCAUUGGAAACUGGGAGACUUGAGUACAGAAGAGGAAAGCGGAAUUCCACGUGUAGCGGUGAAAUGCGUAGAGGUGUGGAGGAACACCAGUGGCGAAGGCGGCUUUCUGGUCUGUAACUGACACUGAGGCGCGAAAGCGUGGGGAGCGAACAGG